AAGGAGAGCCAGGAGAACUGGGGACUUAGAAAAUACAGAUCCUAAACUCAAAAGUCCCUGCCCCAGGCGUGCAGAGCCAGGGUCCUGGGGUUUUGUGCUGGGCAGGGGCUGCCCUGGGAGGGGGAAUACAGGGGGAGGCACUUUAGGACACCCCUUAGGCUGUGGAGGGUGUCAGCUGGGCCUUUGAAGCCACUAACCACUGGUUCCCAUCAUGGAGAGCCCUGUGUGGGGCACCCAAGGGGGUUUCCUCCUGGAAGGGCCCCCAACCCAAGUGUCAGAGAAGCUGGCAAGAGCUGAGGGAGUGAGGUGCCAUGACAGCAGCCACAGCCUCCAGGGACCCAAACAGGCCCAGCUACCAGCCUGGCACUGAGCAUGCCAUCUGCUUUAGGCCCUGGCUGGCGGGCAUGUGGGCAACUUGCUCCCUCAGUGCAGGGGGCUGGGAGGCACAGAUGCAGGCUCAGCACUACAAACUCAAAACCCCCAUGAGAGGGCUCAGUCUUAUGGGAAAUGCCUCCAACCGAGCCCCUCUGCCCCAACACACUCUUUGUCUGCCUACUGAAGAAACUUCUGUAAAUAGCAGAGACUUGAGGGACCCCUUCCUGGGGUACGUGUAUUUGUAUUUUUCUGUUUGGGUGUUUGUGUGUCCCAGUGGGACCACCUCCCCAGGGAGACGAGGCAGGUGGGCAGGAGGCCCGGCAGGCGCCAUUACUUCUUCACGAUCUGGAUGACGUCCUCGUGCUCCAUGGUGUGGGUCAGGCCCACCCGCUGCGGACUGUACUUGGUGCUGGUGCCCUGGGUGAGGAAUGGGGGCAGAGGGGUCACCUCAGCCUGGACUGGCCAAGGUCAAGGAAGAUAUCCCUGGGCGUGUGUGUCCUGAAGGGUAAAUGCCAUGGCAUAAGGUGGGGGCCUCAGGCAGCAGGAUGUCCGCAGUUGUCUGACCAUCCCUGAUCUCAAAGGUUGGGGAGGGCCAGGCACAGUGGCUAAUGCCUGUAAUCCCAGCACUUCUGGAGGUCAAGGUGGGAGGAUCACUUGAGCUCAGGUGUUCGAGACAGCCUGGGCCAGAUAGCGAAACCUUGUCUCCAUGAAAAAUUAGCCAGGCAUGGUGGUGUGUGCCUGUAGUCCCAGCUACUUGUGAUGCUGAGGUGGGAGGAUCGCUUUUGCACAGAUGUCGAGGCUGCACUGGGCCAUGAUCGUGCCACUGCACUCCAGCGUGGGAGACAGAGCCAGACCCUGUCUCAAAAAAAAAAAAACAAAAAAAAAAAACACCAGAAAAAAAAAAGGGUGGGGAAGGCCCAUGUCUACCCUGGGUUGGCAUGUACAUUCUAUGGAGGACAGACACACAGACAUGCCAAUCCCCACAGGAAGGACAGGAACACCACGCAGAGAGUGUGAAUGCCUUGCUUCAUGCCUAACCCAGGGGCUGUCCUGGGUCUACCCCCCUGCUUGCUUUCCACCCAGAGACUCACCCACACCAGGGCGUACUUGAACUGGCUGGCGAGUGACCGGUGGAUGCGGUGGCACUGGAGGACAGGAGAGAGUCAGGUAGAGAGGUCUUCCAGGCCCUGGUGGGAGACCCAACGCCUCAGCCCAGCGUCCCUGGGGCGGAGGCCGGCGCCAGGCCUGCAGGAACACUUCCUUGACACAGAUGGGAAGGUGGCUGACCCUGGUCUGCAGAUGGGUUUUGUUUUACUCAGCUUGCCCAGCAUUGCCACUUGUUCCGGGAGCUGAGGAAAUGCAUGUGGUGGAAAGGCCGAGUGGCCAGGCCAGGGCUCCCCUCCUGCACUUACAUACAGGCAGGGCAUGUACACCCGGUUGCCCACGAUCACAUCGAUGAACUCGUCCGGGGAGCAGUCUUCUCGGAAGAGCACUUCUGCAUUGAAGAUCUCUGAGGGGCUCCGAUUAAGGGCAACCUGUGCACCAGCUGCCCUGUCCCCCAUCAGCGGAGGGCCCCAAAAAGCCAAGCAGGAAAUAUGCUGGCCGCGUGGGACUGUGGCGGUAUCUGCUUGUGAGGUUUUACAAGAUUGUAAUGCUUUGGAAGCCCUCUGUUCUCUUCCCCAGAGGGACCACAAUAUAUAAAAGUUUCAAUCAACACAGAGUUUUAAUCUUGACAGCUAGGCAGGGAGAAAAACGUACCUGCUAGAAUCCCCAAAGCCCCUCAGGGGAAGCCUGGGUUUUAGCACCAGGAGCAUCUGAAAGCUGGUCGAACCCAGCUUCUUCCAUGCAGGACUCCACUGGGGGCCAUCCUGCCUCUGCUUGCACACCUCUGGCAACGAGAGGCUCACAGCUGACUCUAAGAGUUCUCUAUAUGCCAGGCAUAACUCUGCCCGA
This 2328-nucleotide long non-coding RNA is filed under the name Pan troglodytes (chimpanzee). Its description in RNAcentral is "long non-coding RNA NONPTRT006805". Lineage: Eukaryota; Metazoa; Chordata; Mammalia; Primates; Hominidae. The record is from RNAcentral.